RNAcentral lists this long non-coding RNA (1287 nucleotides) under Lepisosteus oculatus (spotted gar). Its description in RNAcentral is "lncRNA (ENSLOCG00000021354.1)". Lineage: Eukaryota; Metazoa; Chordata; Actinopteri; Semionotiformes; Lepisosteidae. The record is from RNAcentral.
UGCCGUCGAGGACAGGGGCCGAGAGAGAGAGCCGGACUGCCUGAGCACUGAGAGAGGAGGAGAGCGAGGGGGGUUAAUACACAGUGAGGUCACUCCAUCACUCUAACAGCGCCGGCUGCUACAAUGUCUUUCCUUCUUCCAUUUUACAUUCAUCCGAUCACCUGGACUCGUUUCAUGACCGUGCGAUACACCUCUCCCAGAUUCGAUGAACACGAACAUUAUUCAUUUCUCAAAGCAAUGGCCUGGCACCACACUAAUCGGCCGUAUUCAGAAAUAACAUUACAAAACUAAGGAACAGACUAUCUGGUGGGUCCUACAGAAGGCAAGAAAGCGUCUCACUGUCACUCACCGGCGCUGAACAGCGUCCUCGUAGACGCCGCCAUCUUGGCCCUGGUCCGCGGAGACGGCUACGGAAGCGCCGAGAGGACAAUCCGCGCGAAACUGGAUGGGCUUCGAGUUUUCCCUUUAGCCUACAAGAGCGUAUCGCAGCGGAGUGUCGGCGGCGCACAGACCGGGGUUCGGCCCGCAGCUCCCCGCAGACCGACUGUACCGGCGAACUCAGCCCGCAGCUCCGCGCUCAGCCGGUCCCGCACCGGCCAGGAGCCCGAAGUAAUACCAGCUGCGCCCUCUGGUGGACACGGACUGACAGGGGCGAGGCUACCGAACAGCGCUUCACUGUGCGAGUCGGAAUAUCGUGACAGCUUUAGGUGACUAGGAAGUGUCUCUACGAGUUUCGAUAAAGCGUGUAACACCAGCCGUGGCCGUCCUUCAGAUGAGACGUGAAACGGAGGUCCUGCCUCUCUGUGGUCAGUCAAGACCCCAGGGUGUCUCUCAGAAAGAGGAGGGGUGUGACCCCAGUGUCCUGGACAGACUCCCCCUGGUCUUUACCAGUCAUGGCCUCCUGAUCACCCCCCUCUCUGAACUGGCCUCAUCACUCUGCUCUCCUCCCCACUGAGAGCUGGAGUGUGUGAGCGGACUGGAGCAUCAUCACACUGGGGGGAUGGAGGGGGUCCCCAGUACUGGACAGUGCCGGGAGAGGGGUGGAGAGUCCAGAAAGGCGCUAUAGAAGUGCAGAUAGAUGAUGAUGAUAAUGAUGUCACAGAGAAGCCCUCAGUAAUAAACACACACAACAGGACAGGAGACACAGUGUGAGAGAGAGGAGUUCACAGGGAAGCCCUCAGUAAUACACACACACAACGGGACAGGAGACACAGUGAGAGAGAAGAGAUCACAGAGAAUCCCUCAGUAAUAAACACACACAACAGGACAGGAGACACAGUGAGAGAG